GGUGAGGCUAGCUGGUG
RNAcentral lists this microRNA (17 nucleotides) under Homo sapiens (human). RNAcentral's name for it is "hsa-miR-4316". The record is from miRBase by way of RNAcentral. Lineage: Eukaryota; Metazoa; Chordata; Mammalia; Primates; Hominidae.